RNAcentral lists this ribosomal RNA (398 nucleotides) under uncultured Hypotrichia. Its description in RNAcentral is "partial small subunit ribosomal RNA". It matches the Rfam family "Eukaryotic small subunit ribosomal RNA", at positions 30 to 432 of the family's 1831-position model. Lineage: Eukaryota; Ciliophora; Spirotrichea. The record is from RNAcentral.
GCUUGUCUCAAAGAUUAAGCCAUGCAUGUCUUAGUGUAAAUAACUCUUAUGAAACUGCGAAUGGCUCAUUAAAUCAGUUAUCAAAUACGUGAUGGUCGCCUACUACAUGGAUAACCGUGGUAAUUCUAGAGCUAAUACAUGCUGGUUAGCCUGACUUUUAGGAAGGGCUGUAUUUAUUAGAUAACAAACCAAUAUUCCUCGUGUCUAUUGUGAUGACUCAUAAUAACUGAUCGAAUCGCAUGGGCCUUGCCCGCGAUACAUCAUUCAAGUUUCUGCCCCAUCAGCUUUCGAUGGUAGUGUAUUGGACUACCAUGGCUUUAACGGGUAACGGAGGAUUAGGGUUCGAUUCCGGAGAGGGAGCCUGAGAAACGGCUACCACAUCUAAGGAAGGCAGCAGG